AGAGCGAAAUCGAACUAGCGAAUCGUAGCGUUGUGCAUCUCCCUUUUCAUCUCUGUCGCAAGUAUUGUAUAUAACAUUGUGUACGAGCUAGGGAGUCGUUUUUCUAGGCGUCAAUCUUGACGUUAGAGUAUCUGGAUUAUAGGGACCUGUCUUAUCGGAUUGUUGAAAUUGUAAAUUCUAUUCAUCGUCUAUGCACAUUUUUAUCACUCUGUAACUUGCCAUUGAUUGUCUCUGUAAUACGGACAGUGAUAAUGGAAGGAUUAACCAGGAGGUACAGAAACUGUACGUUAUCGAUGGAAGAUUGCCAAGAAGUAAUCGACCGAUUUCAUUCGUUGCCACCAUGAGGAAAAGGGAAGACCGCAGGUCGGGCAUAGUCAGAUCGUUUUAAAGGUUAAAACGUCAUAACUCACGUAGAAAAAUGCGGAGCUUUCAUACAGACUCCGUUCUGUGAGAGGCAUUAAAUUUGUCCAAGGAAUGCUUUGUUACUCUUAUUAAAAAAAACUGUAUGAAACAACUCCGAGAAUGCUGCGUGGAAUAUAAAAAAAGAGGUAUCGAAUACUUGAGUGAUAUGCAACGUCAAAGAUCCCAAGAAUCUAUUGGUAAGUUUCAC
Cephus cinctus (wheat stem sawfly) is the source of this 610-nucleotide long non-coding RNA. RefSeq lists it as uncharacterized. The transcript has 3 exons. Lineage: Eukaryota; Metazoa; Arthropoda; Insecta; Hymenoptera; Cephidae. The record is from RefSeq and is a predicted model, not a curated record.